This 451-nucleotide ribosomal RNA is filed under the name uncultured bacterium. RNAcentral's name for it is "partial 16S ribosomal RNA". It matches the Rfam family "Bacterial small subunit ribosomal RNA", at positions 29 to 506 of the family's 1533-position model. The record is from RNAcentral.
GUGAACGCUAAAAGUAUGCAUAACACAUGCAAGUUAAACGUAAAUCUAUUAUUGGAUUUUAUGUAGCAAACGGGUGCGUAAAGCAAAAGAACUCUGCCCUUUUAUUGUAAGUUAAUACUUUAAAAUAUGAAAAAUAUGGCUUUUCAUAUCCAAAAGAAUAAUAGAGCUUUGAAAAAGGAUGAGCUUUUGUAGGAUUAGGUUGUUGGUAAGGAUAAAAGCCGACCAAGCCUUCGAUCCUUAGCUGAAUUGAGAGAUUGCACAGCCACAUUGGAACUGAGACAAGGUCCAGGCUUCUUAUAGCCAGCAGUGAGGAAUACUGGGCAAUGAGCGAAAAGCUUGACCCGGCAAUAUUAUAAGGGGUGAAAUGAAGGCUUUUUUGGCUGUAAAAUCCUAUUAUUUAAGUAUAUCAUGACAAUCACUUAAAUAAAAUAAAGUCCCGGCUAAACUUCGU